Molecule: small nucleolar RNA, 75 nt
Organism: Cercocebus atys (sooty mangabey)
Lineage: Eukaryota; Metazoa; Chordata; Mammalia; Primates; Cercopithecidae
Source: Ensembl
AGGAUGUGAUGAAUUGCUUUAAUUUCUGACACCUCGUAUGAAAGCUGCACUUGCAGUCUUGCAAGACUGAGGCUU